RNAcentral lists this small RNA (362 nucleotides) under Malus domestica (apple). Lineage: Eukaryota; Viridiplantae; Streptophyta; Magnoliopsida; Rosales; Rosaceae. The record is from RNAcentral.
GGCCUUUUGGGAGCUCACUGGCUUCGGGUUCCAUUGGAACUCCGAAGUUAAGCGAGUAGCGCGCGAGAGCAAUCCCAUGAUGGGUGACCCACUGGGAAGUUCCCGUGUGAGUUCCCAGAAACAAAACCGUGAAGGCGUAGUCGGGGCCCAAAGCGGACAAUAUCGUGCUACGGUGGUGGAAUGGGCCCGGGAAGUGGUCCGCCCCGGGCCGGGAUGUGACAAUUUGGUAUCAGAGCCUAACCCUAGCCAUGGUCUUUUGGGAGCUCACUGGCUUCGGGUUCCAUUGGAACUCCGAAGUUAAGCGAGUAGCGCGCAAGAGCAAUCCCAUGAUGGGUGACCCACUGGGAAGUUCUCGUCUGAGU